Molecule: long non-coding RNA, 318 nt
Filed under: Physcomitrium patens
Lineage: Eukaryota; Viridiplantae; Streptophyta; Bryopsida; Funariales; Funariaceae
Description: long non-coding RNA (PPAT_LNC007443)
Source: RNAcentral
AUACCACUUUAUACUCACGAUCUUGUAUCCACUGAUUGUCUCGUUAGAUUAAUCCAAUAAAUUUUAUUCACUCCGCAUACUCAUUACUAUAGAUACCCUUUUAAUUUUUCAUCACAGACGUAACUCGAUUUCAUAAAACAGUCAAGAGUAAUCACACCUCUUUCAUUAAAAUCUCGAUUCACAAGUAUAACACUGACUUCAGCAACGAUUGCCUCAGUCUUCCCAAAACCCUAUGAAAAAAAAAGAACCCAAUUCUCUGUCUUUUUUCCCUACUCUGAAGCAUGAAGCUAGAUCUGCGACCCUUCUAAAAAACCUAUU